AUUGAACGCUGGCGGCAGGCCUAACACAUGCAAGUCGAACGAGUGGCGGACGGGUGCGUAAUGUCUGGGAAUCUGCACGAUGGAGGGGGAUAACUACUGGAAACGGUAGAUAAUACCGCAUACCAUCGGCUAUGCCCAGAUGGGAUGAGCUAUUCGGUGGGGUAAUGGCUCACCUAGGCGACGAUCCCUAGCUGGUCUGAGAGGAUGACCAGCCACACUGGAACUGAGACACGGUCCAGACUCCUACGGGAGGCAGCAGUGGGGAAUAUUGGACAAUGGGCGCAAGCCUGAUGCAGCCAUGCCGCGUGUAUGAAGAAGGCCUUCGGGUUGUAAAGUACUUUAAGUGAGGAGGCGUUACUAGCAGAAGAAGCACCGGCUAACUCCGUGCCAGCAGCCGCGGUAAUAC
This 406-nucleotide ribosomal RNA is filed under the name uncultured bacterium. Its description in RNAcentral is "partial 16S ribosomal RNA". It matches the Rfam family "Bacterial small subunit ribosomal RNA", at positions 30 to 526 of the family's 1533-position model. The record is from RNAcentral.